This 2100-nucleotide long non-coding RNA is filed under the name Trifolium pratense (red clover). Its description in RNAcentral is "long non-coding RNA (TPRA_LNC012256)". Lineage: Eukaryota; Viridiplantae; Streptophyta; Magnoliopsida; Fabales; Fabaceae. The record is from RNAcentral.
UUAAGUUUACAAUUCCUGACAUAAUUGAAAUGGCACACACAGGUGCUAUAACAUAAGUUCAGACAUAAGAACAAAGUCUUAUACAGUACAUGCCAUGAUCAUAAUACAUGAUAGAAGUACAAAAAGGCAUCUAAACAUAAUUCAUCCAGCUGCAGCAGCUACUCCAUAGCCUGAUUACCAUGUGAUUUCUGCUUAUCUGAAAAAAAAUUAAUAAGCGUGGGAUGAGACUACUAAGCCUCAGUGAGUUCUUCUACCCAACUAACGGUGACUACACCGGGGUACCUGAAUGUCAGUCCAUAGCAUAAUUCAUAACAUAGCAUAAAAUCAUAAAUGUGUAUCACAAAUUAUCAUCUUGUUCAUUUUAACAUAACUAAGACACUCUGAGGUGAGCCAUUCUCAGAGGCCUGACAUAUCCGUCGUCGAUGAUUAUACGCAUCGGCACGGCAUGAAGCUCACAAUCGUAACAUGAUUGGAUUCAUCGAAUCCCAUAACGUGGUACAAAAGUAUCCACCAUGAUUAACUGACUAACUAAACUGUCCUGAGCUUUUUUAUCCUGCCCAUGAUUCUCUUCCGGGGCCUAACUAACAUAUUCUAAUUUCUUGAUUAUCAUAUGCUUAACGUGUAAUUAACAUUGUAAUUAUGUAUUUUACUUGCAGUAUUCACAUAAAACAGCUAGAAGGCUUAGGGAUUCAAAAAGAGUGAGAUUGUGGUGUUUAAAAAAUUCUGCAGGGUACUAACCUGCUACAUUGUUUUCACAUUUUUCACAAAUUUUGCAGCAACUCUCACCAUAAUCCUUUUCCUUACUAGCCAUGAAUAUUACAGCAUAUAAUACAUGUUUAAAAUGGAGAGAAGCUUUGGGAUUAAGCUCCUCUCAUACACCAUUUGAUCCUAAACUUAUGUUGGCAUACAAAGUUCAUAAUUUGGGGCAAUUAACUAACUAAACUUAAGAACCCACCUGAUAUAGGAGCUUGAUUUUUAGCUUCUGAGUUGUCUACUGAUAUGAACAGCUAGCUUCAACUUCCUCUUGAGCUUUGGCCUUUAGUUCCAAUUCCUAUAAUUACCAAAAACUCACUUAUGAGUAAAACACUUGUAUGCAACACAAAAGACAGAUUUGUGUCUUUUAGAGAUGAUGGAUUAGAGCACGAAUUAGAGGGAAUGAAGAGGGUUUUGAGCAAUAAAACUUACCAUUUUUGAUGUUCAGAACCUAAGGAACUUGAUUCACUACUUGCAUGUGAGUUUUAUGAGGAAGUUUAGAGAGAUUGAGAUGGUUGGGUGUUGUUGUUUUGUUAAACGAGAGAGAUGAGAUGAGAGAAGGGAGUAUUCUGNNNNNNNNNNNNNNNNNNNNNNNNNNNNNNNNNNNNNNNNNNNNNNNNNGAAGAUGACCAUUCAGAAGUUCGUAAAGCUCAGAGGAUAUCAACGUCAGAAGUUGUUAGUCUCAGAGGUUGGAAACCUCAGCAGUUGAUAAGUCAGAAGAUAAUAAAUCUCUUGACUGGUCUUGAUCCUUGUGAAGACUUGGUCAUAAAGUUUGAAUCAUUGCAUCAACACUUUUACCAACGAAGAAAGCGACCUCUCAAGUGGCUCAAAAUAGCUUUCUUACAUUAUCCCUAGUCUUAAGGAAGGAACGUGACUUGUUUGGUUUCUUAGCUUAAAAUGGAAAGUCUUCUCUACAUCAAGUCAAAGUAGCUGAAACUCUUGUUCAAUUUUGGAUGUCAUUCAAACUCAUGUCAAGACAAGUGCAAGCUGACAAUCCUAUCCUCAUCAACGGUCAUGUGCAACGUCUAUUUCUCAUUGGCAUAUAAAUACUAGACGAAGUGGAUUGCUGCAAAUAUACGAUACUACACGCACAUGCUAUUCAUUGCAAAUCUAUCAAUACAAACACUCAUCCUCUGAACCUUGAAUUUCAUUCUUAUUCAAAAUACUGUGAAGUCAAUUUGAACUCAUUGUAUUUUAAUCUUAAGGUUCUCUUAGUGUAUUGUAUUAUCUCAACAAACUUUAUUUACAUUCUUAAGUUUGAGAAGUAUCUUGCUGUGAAAUCCCUUGGAAGUGCAAGGGGACUGGACUACUCUCGUUUUGUGAGAGGAACUAGUAUAAAUAUGAUGU